UGGCACCAAGAAAACAAUAAAGAAAAGAAAAAAGUCUUAGAGAUAGGAAUAACUUUCUGUACUUUAUAGCUGGGAAAAAAAAACAUAAGUAUAAAGAGAGUGGCUGUUUUUUUAACUGAUGAUUGGUGUCCACUAGCAAUUUCUUUAACCUUUAUUUUGUCUUACCAAUUCUGAUCCUUCCUAUUUUUGAUUUAUAUCAAACACAUCCUUUCUGAGCAAAUGUUGGGCAUGGUAGGAGUGGGAAAAGUGAUGAGAAAGGGAGAGAGAUUAAUGAACUUGGUCUUUACUUUUUGAUUUCUUUUAAUUUUAUUUUAAUUAAGGAUGCACAAAUAUG
This is a long non-coding RNA of Perognathus longimembris pacificus (Pacific pocket mouse), 334 nucleotides long. RefSeq lists it as uncharacterized. Lineage: Eukaryota; Metazoa; Chordata; Mammalia; Rodentia; Heteromyidae. The record is from RefSeq and is a predicted model, not a curated record. The transcript has 3 exons.